Molecule: ribosomal RNA, 492 nt
Filed under: uncultured bacterium
Lineage: Bacteria
Description: partial 16S ribosomal RNA
Rfam family: Bacterial small subunit ribosomal RNA
Source: RNAcentral
AGUGAGCGCUGGCGGUAGGCCUAACACAUGCAAGUCGAACGGCAGCACAGUAAGAGCUUGCUCUUACGGGUGGCGAGUGGCGGACGGGUGAGGAAUACAUCGGGAUCUACUUUUUCGUGGGGGAUAACGUAGGGAAACUUACGCUAAUACCGCAUACGACCUACGGGUGAAAGCAGGGGAUCUUCGGACCUUGCGCGAUUGAAUGAGCCGAUGUCGGAUUAGCUAGUUGGCGGGGUAAAGGCCCACCAAGGCGACGAUCCGUAGCUGGUCUGAGAGGAUGAUCAGCCACACUGGAACUGAGACACGGUCCAGACUCCUACGGGAGGCAGCAGUGGGGAAUAUUGGACAAUGGGCGCAAGCCUGAUCCAGCCAUACCGCGUGGGUGAAGAAGGCCUUCGGGUUGUAAAGCCCUUUUGUUGGGAAAGAAAAGCAGCAGGUUAAUACCCCGCUGUUCUGACGGUACCCAAAGAAUAAGCACCGGCUAACUUCGUG